Molecule: non-coding RNA, 1097 nt
Organism: Cricetulus griseus (Chinese hamster)
Lineage: Eukaryota; Metazoa; Chordata; Mammalia; Rodentia; Cricetidae
Source: RefSeq, a predicted model, not a curated record
GUGGGACGUGAGAGGGUAACUAUUUAGGUAAAGGUGCAGAGGAGCUGGGAUGGGUAAGAAAGGCUGGCGGAAACCAAAGGACGGUUAGCUAGAAACAGUCACCAGAGUGGCUCCGGGUGCGCGGUGCUAGCCAGGAGGGCAUUUAUUUGUUCAUCAGGUGUUUAAUCUGGGCCAGUUCUCCAACAGUGACGGGGAGACAGGGUCCAGAGUGCAGAGGAGAUUAUAGCCGAACAACAGCAAUUUGGGGUUCAUGGAUAGAGUUUGUCUCUGGGGUCCUGGGAGGUUUUGACUUGGCUCAUGGAGAAAAGAAAGAAAGAAAGAAAGAGAGAGAGAGAGAGAGAGAGAGAGAGAGAGAGAGAGAGAGAGAACCCGAAAAGCCAAACUUGGCAACAACAAAACUCUCAGUGUCCAAAGGCCCCCGUGGAGGAAGAAGACUCCAGGAUGGAGAGAUGGAAGGUGCACAGGCAGAGGUCAGAGGACAACUUGCAGGAGCCUGCUUUCUCCUUCACCAUGUGGAACCCAGGAAUUGAACUCAGAUAGGGUCCUAUGGAGCCCAGGCUGUCCUUGAACUAUCCAAGGAUGACCUUGAACUCCUAAUCAUCUUUCUCCCAAGAGCUAGAGUUACAGCCGGGUUCCAGCAUGUCUGCCUAGAAGGAGGACCUGCAUUCCUUACUAUUUUGAAUUUUGUACCACAUUCAAGUGCUAUUUAACUAAUAAAUAAAGCCUAGCAGAGACAAAGUGUCACCCAUGAAUUCUAGACCAGCAUGGGCUACAGAGUGGAUUAAAAACAAAGCAAAACAAAACAAACAAAAAAAACCUGUGUUGCCUGUAUGUAAAUACAUUUUUUUAAAAACUUUAAAUGAAUCCUUUUUCAAGGUUCAUUUGUAAUGCGAGCAGCCACUCCCUAAUUUGUUUUGGAAAUGUUGACAUUUGUGUGUACUGGAUUUUCUUAAACCAUGAAAGACCAACAUCUGGGAACCACACCCUGAACCUUUAAGUUUGUCACUGACAAAACCAGCCAAGCGAGUGUGACGUUAUAAAACAAAACCACAAAGGUAGUCCAGAGAGGGUGAGCUGCUAGACAGGGUGUGUGUGUG